GAUGAACGCUGGCGGCGUGCCUAAUACAUGCAAGUCGAGCGAACAGACGAGGAGCUUGCUCCUCUGACGUUAGCGGCGGACGGGUGAGUAACACGUGGAUACCCUACCUAUAAGACUGGGAUAACUUCGGGAAACCGGAGCUAAUCCCGGAUAAUCUAUUGAACCGCAUGGUUCAAUAGUGAAAGACGGUUUUGCUGUAACUUAUAGAUGGAUCUGGGCCGCAUUAGCUAGUUGGUAAGGUAACGGCUUACCAAGGCAACGAUGCGUAGCCGAGGGGAGAGGGGGAUCGGCCACACGGGAGCGGGGACACGGACCAGACUCCUACGGGAGGGAGCAGUAGGGAAUCGGCCGCAAUAGGCGAGAGCUUGACGGAGCAACGCCGCGUGAGUGAUGAAGGUCUUCGGAGCGUAAAACUCUGUUAUUAGGGGAGAACAAAUUUGUAAGUAACUAUGCACGUCUUGACGGUACCUAGUCAGAAAGCCACGGCUAACUACGUG
RNAcentral lists this ribosomal RNA (497 nucleotides) under uncultured bacterium. RNAcentral's name for it is "partial 16S ribosomal RNA". It matches the Rfam family "Bacterial small subunit ribosomal RNA", at positions 28 to 507 of the family's 1533-position model. The record is from RNAcentral.